RNAcentral lists this transfer RNA (66 nucleotides) under Listeria monocytogenes. Its description in RNAcentral is "tRNA-Lys". It matches the Rfam family "tRNA". Rfam says of the family: Transfer RNA (tRNA) molecules are approximately 80 nucleotides in length. Their secondary structure includes four short double-helical elements and three loops (D, anti-codon, and T loops). Further hydrogen bonds mediate the characteristic L-shaped molecular structure. tRNAs have two regions of fundamental functional importance: the anti-codon, which is responsible for specific mRNA codon recognition, and the 3' end, to which the tRNAs corresponding amino acid is attached (by aminoacyl-tRNA synthetases). tRNAs cope with the degeneracy of the genetic code in two manners: having more than one tRNA (with a specific anti-codon) for a particular amino acid; and 'wobble' base-pairing, i.e. permitting non-standard base-pairing at the 3rd anti-codon position. The record is from RNAcentral. Lineage: Bacteria; Bacillati; Bacillota; Bacilli; Caryophanales; Listeriaceae.
CCGUUAGCUCAGUUGGUAGAGCAUCUGACUUUUAAUCAGAGGGUCGCUGGUUCGAACCCAGCACGG